AUGAAUUGAACGGAGUUCUCAUCAUGGCUGCAUCCGCCUUGGCCCGGAUGUCGGCUUCGGAGGAAUAAACCUCUCUCCUGUGUUGCUAUUCGCUGGCACCCCCUCUCUGUUUCGCUCCGCUUUCAUAUCUUGAGCCCGCCUCGUCCUUACUCCCCCAAUCGAUUUGUUUCGUCGAAAGCAUAAACACUCGGUAAGCUCUUCGCGUCUCCAGGUUCUCCUUAUAGAUUUCCUCUUGCUUGCACCCCCCGCUUUUAUUUAUUUAUUUGUUCAAGAAGAGAAAACUUUGUAUCUGUGUGUCUAUCUGUUUUAAUUGCCCAUGUUUCUUGAUUCUUGCGAUCACGUGCUCAGCUAAUUUAUUCGAUGCUGCUCUUUGCUCAGUUUUGUGAUCUCUGCCUUAGCCGUCUGUCCGGGGUAUAAGGAACGAGGGAAAUAGCGACAAGAAAAUAUUGGAAAAAUUAGGGCUCAAUCGGUUUUGGAAACGGACGAGUCCAAGAAUCGAUCUUUGGAACAUUUUUGAGUAUCACAUGGAGGCAAGGAAAUUGAGUUACAGCCAAGAUUUAAACUUGAUCAGUGAAAAACCUUAAAGCAUGCCCUAGGUACUACGUGACAUUUUUUGGAUUUGCAAAAGUUAUUGUUGGAUUGAAGUAUUGAAACGAAAUUGAGUUACAGCCAAGAUUUAAUCCUGAUCAGUGAAAAAACCUAAAGCAAGCCCUAGGUACUACGUGACAUUUUUUAAUUUUGCAAAAGUUAUUGUUGGAUUGAAGUAUUAAAAGGUAAUUCCAUAUGAAAUGUGGAAUGCUGGAACAGUUUUAGCUGAUUUGUUUUUCAUGAUGUAUUAAAAUCCACAAGAAUGUCCUAGGGUUCGAGGAAAAGAUGAUGUUACCAUGUUAGGUUUUCAUGGCAUCUGAUUUUGAAGACAUAUUUGGGAGUUACAUGACAUGAUAGUUGAACAAAGAUUAGGACAAAUUACAUUGAAAAGACCAACUGUUGAGCAAUUUUCCCAGGCAAGUGAUGGAGAAUUUAGAGCAAAAAAAUUGUCUUUCUAGAUGCUGGUGAAGAGAACUUCUUUCGCUGAGGUUCCUUUGCUUAAGAUAUAAGAUCCUAUGAAGAUUUUAACUUUUAAGAAUUUCUUGGUGGCAGUAGGUCUUCAACAAAGAUGAAUAUUAACGUUCAAGGAAUUUAUAAGUUAUGUAUAAGGCCGAAUAUAGUAUCAGGAUUAGAGUGUUAGCUGAUGAAAGGCUUAUCAUAACGACAUAACUUAAAUGAGGAUGUUGCAGAUGAAAAAAAAAUGGGUAGUUCAAAAUAUGUAUUUUUAAAAUUUUAUAGUGAAAUAAUAAAAAAUUAAAUAUUUUAAUCUUCUAAACAUGUCUUAGAUUAGAUCUAAACUAUCAUUAAGGAUCUAUGAUAUGAAAAAUUUACAUAUAAAAUCAGAUAUAAAAUAGAAAACUACAUCUAUCACAUCGAUGUCUUGAAUCUGAUCUAACUUUUAAAUUAUGUCGGUAGAGUUCAGAACGCAUCAUCUUUUCAUGGAUCGAUGAUCUCCAAUGC
This 1548-nucleotide long non-coding RNA is filed under the name Elaeis guineensis (African oil palm). Its description in RNAcentral is "long non-coding RNA (EGUI_LNC068192)". Lineage: Eukaryota; Viridiplantae; Streptophyta; Magnoliopsida; Arecales; Arecaceae. The record is from RNAcentral.